CGCGCAGGCGGUGAUGUAAGUCUGAGGUGAAAACCCGAAGCUCAACUUCGGGACUGCCUUGGAUACUGCGUCACUUGAGGAUAGGAGAGGCAAGGGGAAUUCCACGUGUAGCGGUGAAAUGCGUAGAGAUGUGGAGGAACACCUGUGGCGAAGGCGCCUUGCUGGCCUAUUUCUGACGCUGAGGCGCGAAAGCGUGGGGAGCAAACA
Molecule: ribosomal RNA, 207 nt
Filed under: uncultured bacterium
Lineage: Bacteria
Description: partial 16S ribosomal RNA
Rfam family: Bacterial small subunit ribosomal RNA
Source: RNAcentral